UGUUCAGUAAUGAUCAUGCAGUGAGGAGGAACACAUGACCCAGAACAACAAGAUUGUUCUGAGAUUGGUGGUACCUUAGAACAAGUAAUCUUAAUCUUGCAUAAAAGGAUUUAGUAAACAAAUGGGAAAAAUUGAACUUUUGUAGAUCACAUACACAGAUGUAACGUGAGUGGACUAGAAGUGUAUAAGAUGAUUUAAAUUAUUUUGUUUCCCUUCUGUUUCCCCCAGGCUUUAGAAAAGACCUCCAGGACUUGGAAGCAGAUGAUAAAUCUUAUGAGCUCCACCCAGAAUCACAUGUGCAAAUAAAAAACCAUUUGAUAAAAAGGUCACAGAUUGGUGAAACCAAUGACAAGCUGUUUCCUUCAGCCAGCUCACAAACACCUGCAAGAGAGUAUGUCUACCA
This 403-nucleotide long non-coding RNA is filed under the name Rattus norvegicus (Norway rat). Its description in RNAcentral is "long non-coding RNA NONRATT016840". Lineage: Eukaryota; Metazoa; Chordata; Mammalia; Rodentia; Muridae. The record is from RNAcentral.